GUCGAGGUGGCGGAAUUGGCAGACGCGCUGGCUUCAGGAGCCAGUGUCCGCAAGGACGUAUGGGUUCAAGUCCCUUCCUCGAUACCA
This 87-nucleotide transfer RNA is filed under the name bacterium Ellin6529. RNAcentral's name for it is "tRNA-Leu". It matches the Rfam family "tRNA". Rfam says of the family: Transfer RNA (tRNA) molecules are approximately 80 nucleotides in length. The record is from RNAcentral. RNAcentral also lists the same sequence under 5 other names.